ACGGGGCCCGCACAAGCGGCGGAGCAUGCGGAUUAAUUCGACGUUACACGAAGAACCUUACCAGGGUUUGACAUGCAAGUGGUAGGAAGCCGAAAGGUGACCGACCCUUCGGGGAGCUUGCACAGGUGCUGCAUGGCUGUCGUCAGCUCGUGUCGUGAGAUGUUCGGUUAAGUCCGCUAACGAGCGCAACCCUCGCUGUGUGUUAUAUGUGUCACACGGGACUGCCGGUCUUAAGCCGGAGGAAGGUGGGGAUGAUGUCAAGUCAGCAUGGCCUUUAUAUCCUGGGCUACACACACGCUACAAUGGCCAACACAAUAGGUUGCUAAGCCGCGAGGUGGCGCCAAUCCAUAAAGUUGGUCUCAGUUCAGAUUGUAGGCUGCAACCCGCCUGCAUGAAGAUGGAGUUGCUAGUAACCGCAGGUCAGCUAUACUGCGGUGAAUACGUUCCCGGGGCUU
RNAcentral lists this ribosomal RNA (455 nucleotides) under uncultured Leptolinea sp. RNAcentral describes it as "bacterial SSU rRNA". It matches the Rfam family "Bacterial small subunit ribosomal RNA", at positions 916 to 1381 of the family's 1533-position model. Lineage: Bacteria; Bacillati; Chloroflexota; Anaerolineae; Anaerolineales; Anaerolineaceae. The record is from RNAcentral.